This is a non-coding RNA of Ceratotherium simum simum (southern white rhinoceros), 1491 nucleotides long. Lineage: Eukaryota; Metazoa; Chordata; Mammalia; Perissodactyla; Rhinocerotidae. The record is from the annotation of a RefSeq genome assembly.
AUGGCGGAGGGCAGGGGGCUCUGGGAGAGAGGGGCCGGAGGCCCUGGUGGUCUCACGGCCUCCUCUCUUGCAGCCUCCACCAAGGCCCCAUCACUCUUCCCACUGGCCCCAUGCUGUGGGGACACAUCUGGCCCCACGGUGGCCCUGGGCUGCCUGGUCUCCAGCUACAUCCCAGAGCCAGUGACCGUGUCCUGGAACUCGGGCUCCCUGACCAGUGGCGUGCACACCUUCCCGCCCGUCCUGAGGUCCUCGGGGCUCUACACCCUCAGCAGCAUCGUGACCGUGCCUGCCAGCAGCUUGGAGAGCCAGACCUACACCUGCAACGUAGCCCACCCGGCCAGCAGCACCAAGGUGGACAAGAGAGUCGGUGAGAGGAGGGGCUGCAUGGAGGGUGUUCCCUGCGAGACAGGCCAGGGGUCAGCCCUCCUGCCUGGACCCCAGGGCAGCAAGGGAGGCCUCCCUAGCUCAGAGAGGGGUCCUCUGGGUGUUUCCGCCAUGCUCAGGGUGGGGGCAGGCUGGACACCCCUAACCCAGCCCCUGGGCCCACAGAGGUGGGAGCUGGUCUCAGAUCUGCCAAAACCUAGCCCUGACCUAAUCGUAAGAGACCCGAAGUCCUGCAGCAAGUCUCCCGAAUGCCCAGGAGGGCCUUUGGUCUUCAUCUUCCCCCCAAAACCCAAAGACACCCUCAUGAUCUCCCGAAGGCCUGAGGUCACCUGCAUGGUGGUAGACGUGAGCCAUGAAGACCCUGAUGUCCAGUUCACCUGGUACAUGGACGCCACAGAGGUGAGCACGGCUGCAACGAAGAUGAAGGAGGAGCAGUUCAACAGCACCUACCGCGUGGUCAGCGUCCUCCCCGUCCAGCACCAGGACUGGCUAAGUGGAAAGGCGUUCAAGUGUAAGGUCAACAACAGAGCCCUCCCGGCCCCCAUUGAGAGGACCAUCUCCAAGGCCAAAGGGCAGGCCCGGGAGCCACAGGUGUACAUCCUGCCCCCACACCGGGACGAGCUGUCCAGGAACACGGUCAGCGUGACCUGCCUGGUCAAAGACUUCUACCCACCUGACAUCGUUGUUGAGUGGCAGAGCGAUGAGCAUCCAGAGCCGGAGGGCAAGUACAGCACCACCUCAGCCCAGCGGGACAGCGACGGGUCCUACUUCCUGUACAGCAAGCUCUCAGUGGAGACGGACAGGUGGAAGCAGGGAGAAAUGUUCACAUGUGCGGUGAUGCACGAGGCUCUCCACAAUCACUAUAGGCAGAGAUCCAUCUCCCAGUCUCCGGAGAUGGUCCUGGACCAGAGCUGUGUCGAGACCCAAGAGGGGGAGCUGGACGGGCUGUGGACCACCAUCUCCAUCUUCAUCACACUCUUCCUGCUCAGUGUGGGCUACAGCGCCACCGUCACCCUCUUCAAGGUGAAGUGGAUCUUCUCCUCGGUGGUGGAGCUGAAGCGGACCAUCAUCCCCGACUACACGAACAUGAUCAGGCAAGGGCCCUAG